This 547-nucleotide ribosomal RNA is filed under the name Colletotrichum sp. RNAcentral's name for it is "eukaryotic LSU rRNA". The stretch from base 184 to 337 matches the Rfam family "5.8S ribosomal RNA". The record is from RNAcentral. Lineage: Eukaryota; Fungi; Ascomycota; Sordariomycetes; Glomerellales; Glomerellaceae.
AGGGAUCAUUACUGAGUUUACGCUCUACAACCCUUUGUGAACAUACCUAUAACUGUUGCUUCGGCGGGUAGGGUCUCCGUGACCCUCCCGGCCUCCCGCCCCCGGGCGGGUCGGCGCCCGCCGGAGGAUAACCAAACUCUGAUUUAACGACGUUUCUUCUGAGUGGUACAAGCAAAUAAUCAAAACUUUUAACAACGGAUCUCUUGGUUCUGGCAUCGAUGAAGAACGCAGCGAAAUGCGAUAAGUAAUGUGAAUUGCAGAAUUCAGUGAAUCAUCGAAUCUUUGAACGCACAUUGCGCCCGCCAGCAUUCUGGCGGGCAUGCCUGUUCGAGCGUCAUUUCAACCCUCAAGCUCUGCUUGGUGUUGGGGCCCUACAGCUGAUGUAGGCCCUCAAAGGUAGUGGCGGACCCUCCCGGAGCCUCCUUUGCGUAGUAACUUUACGUCUCGCACUGGGAUCCGGAGGGACUCUUGCCGUAAAACCCCCCAAUUUUCCAAAGGUUGACCUCGGAUCAGGUAGGAAUACCCGCUGAACUUAAGCAUAUCAAUA